RNAcentral lists this ribosomal RNA (253 nucleotides) under uncultured bacterium. RNAcentral describes it as "partial 16S ribosomal RNA". It matches the Rfam family "Bacterial small subunit ribosomal RNA", at positions 524 to 776 of the family's 1533-position model. The record is from RNAcentral.
UACAGAGGUCUCAAGCGUUGUUCGGAUUCAUUGGGCGUAAAGGGUGCGUAGGUGGCGCGGUAAGUCGGGUGUGAAAUUUCGGAGCUUAACUCCGAAACUGCAUUCGAUACUGCCGUGCUUGAGGACUGGAGAGGAGACUGGAAUUCAUGGUGUAGCAGUGAAAUGCGUAGAGAUCAUGAGGAAGACCAGUGGCGAAGGCGGGUCUCUGGACAGUUCCUGACACUGAGGCACGAAGGCCAGGGGAGCAAACGGG